GUUUGAUCCUGGCUCAGAUUGAACGCUGGCGGAAUGCUUUACACAUGCAAGUCGAGCGGCAGCGCGGGGCAACCUGGCGGCGAGCGGCGAACGGGUGAGUAAUACAUCGGAACGUGCCCAGACGUGGGGGAUAACUACUCGAAAGAGUGGCUAAUACCGCAUACGAUCUACGGAUGAAAGCGGGGGAUCGCAAGACCUCGCGCGUCUGGAGCGGCUGAUGGCAGAUUAGGUAGUUGGUGGGAUAAAAGCCUACCAAGCCAACGAUCUGUAGCUGGUCUGAGAGGAUGAUCAGCCACACUGGGACUGAGACACGGCCCAGACUCCUACGGGAGGCAGCAGUGGGGAAUUUUGGACAAUGGGCGAAAGCCUGAUCCAGCCAUUCCGCGUGCAGGAUGAAGGCCCUCGGUUGUAAACUGCUUUUGUACAGAACGAAAAAGACUCUGGCUAAUACCUGGAGUCCAUGACGGUACUGUAAGAAUAAGCACCGGCUAACUACGUGCCAG
RNAcentral lists this ribosomal RNA (503 nucleotides) under uncultured bacterium. Its description in RNAcentral is "bacterial SSU rRNA". It matches the Rfam family "Bacterial small subunit ribosomal RNA", at positions 11 to 511 of the family's 1533-position model. The record is from RNAcentral.